UCCCUGGUGGUCCAAUGGCUGAGACCCCACACUCCCAAUGUAGGGGGCCAGGGUUCAAUUCCUGGUCAGAGAA
Ovis aries (sheep) is the source of this 73-nucleotide transfer RNA. It matches the Rfam family "tRNA". From Rfam's summary of the family: Transfer RNA (tRNA) molecules are approximately 80 nucleotides in length. NCBI's taxonomy places the organism in Eukaryota, Metazoa, Chordata, Mammalia, Artiodactyla, Bovidae. The record is from Rfam.